This 253-nucleotide ribosomal RNA is filed under the name uncultured bacterium. Its description in RNAcentral is "partial 16S ribosomal RNA". It matches the Rfam family "Bacterial small subunit ribosomal RNA", at positions 524 to 776 of the family's 1533-position model. The record is from RNAcentral.
UACAGAGGGUGCAAGCGUUGUUCGGAUUUACUGGGCGUAAAGCGCGUGUAGGCGGUGGCGUAAGUCGGAUGUGAAAUCCCUCGGCUUAACCGAGGACGUGCACCUGAUACUGUGCCACUUGAGUACCGGAGGGGAUGGCGGAAUUCCCGGUGUAGAGGUGAAAUUCGUAGAUAUCGGGAGGAACACCUGUGGCGAAGGCGGCCAUCUGGACGGUAACUGACGCUGAGACGCGAAAGCGUGGGUAGCAAACAGG